Long non-coding RNA from Dioscorea cayenensis subsp. rotundata (Guinea yam), 1654 nucleotides. RefSeq lists it as uncharacterized. Lineage: Eukaryota; Viridiplantae; Streptophyta; Magnoliopsida; Dioscoreales; Dioscoreaceae. The record is from RefSeq and is a predicted model, not a curated record. The transcript is spliced from 8 exons.
GGAAUGAUUCAGAGAUGGGUCUCAAAGAGGAUAAUACUGCAGAGUUAAUUGGACAAGGGGGUUUCUUAUAAGCAUAAUGAGUAAUGGCUGAGGAGGAACCUCAUGAGGAUGCAGUGAAGUAUGUAGCUAAUUCAUAAUUUCGAUGUUGCUUGUCAGAUAAUUGGAGCUGAAGAUCUGGCAUCAUGUUCUAGAGGAGCUCAUGGAAACAAACAGUUGUGCAAUGAAACUAAGGGGUGAUGAUCCCACUGCCAUGAAAGAUUUUGUCCUCGACAUUCAGAACAGAGUGAAUGAGUUAAAGAAUUCUUGUCUCAUGCAAGAUGCAAAAUCAAAGAUCAAUAGUAAAAGAAUGCAGUAUAUGCUUGAGGCAAUAUGUUAUAUCACGAAUAAUAAAAAAAAAGGCCCAGGGUGGAUUCUGCCCAGCAUACACGUACAAAGAAAGGGCUGCAAAAGUUGAGAGUAGAGGAUAUUCUACGCUUCAUGGGCUCAAAUGGUGCAAUCUGCUUGAUCCUGAAAAGAAAGGCCAAUGGUGGUCCGAAGCAGAUAACGUCGAAGAUGUGGCAGCCACGAUUAGCAAAGAGAUAUUGGAGACACAAAAAUUGGUGCAACUUGUGGCUGCUUAGAGGAUGAACACUUGACAUAAGGAGAGCAAUAUUUUGCAUAAUCAUGUGUGUUGAAGACUAUCUUAAUGCUUUUGGGAAGAUCCUGCACCUAGAUUUGUCUGGGAAACAGGAUAGAGUAAUCAUGCGGGUCCUUGUUGACUGCUUCUUGCAGGAGAAAUUGUUCAACAAAUAUUAUACUGUGUUGGCUUUGAAGCUUUGCAGCCAUGACAAGAAUCACAAGUCCUCCCUGCAGGUUUGCAGACUUGUAAGCUUUAUUUACCAUCCAAUCUUUUUUCCUGCUGUAGCUGAUGCUGAUUCUAAAUGUCUUAGAUGUUUGGUCAUCAUGGGCAAGACCGUAUGCCAUUGUAUGUUGAUUGAUGAACAAUACUUUCUUUAUCUAUUCCUAUUGCUUGAGAUUUGAAGAUUGUUUUCCAGUGGUUACUGUCUUCCAUGUUAAGACAUUGAAGGCUGGCAUCCAUCUAAGAAGGGCCAUGGUCCUCUAAUGCUGGUGAAACAAUAAUCAAUGCAAUUGCCCAUUCAUUGCCAGCCAUCUCAGAUCGGAUACGGGGACAAGUUCCAUUUAAAAUUACAUCCCUAAAGUUGAGGAGGUUAAAUUAUUUGAUUGUAGAAUGUAAUGGUUUAUUAUUCAUCUAACAAUAUCAUGUUAUAUGUAUAUACAUGCCAAAUUUAUAGAUAUUGAUAUGAAUGUUAUGUAUUGGACUUCCAAAUGCAAGGAGUGAUUAAGCAUUAUAAGAUAGAAGAAAAUCCGAGAUGGCUAGCAAUGAUUGGAAAAUGCCUAAAGGCUAAAGCCUACCCAAUUGGUGUUGGUACAUACAGAUGUAUGGGAUAUUCUACGGUUGCUACUUUUGGAGGCUUCAAUUACUAUAUCAUUGAUUACUCAAAUAGGAAGGUAUUGAUCUAUUUUGUCAAACAUAAGCCUAAAGUUAUUCUGCUUUAAUUACUUGGAAGGCUAUGGUUGAGAGAGACAAGUUUAAAAUUAAAGAGUUUGUGAUAAGGUAAUAGUGGGGAUACAUACUCGAGGCGUUUAAGCCGAA